Molecule: ribosomal RNA, 497 nt
Filed under: uncultured bacterium
Lineage: Bacteria
Description: partial 16S ribosomal RNA
Rfam family: Bacterial small subunit ribosomal RNA
Source: RNAcentral
GAUGAACGCUGGCGGCGUGCCUAAUACAUGCAAGUCGAGCGAACAGAUGAGGAGCUUGCUCCUCUGACGUUAGCGGCGGACGGGUGAGUAACACGUGGAUAACCUACCUAUAAGACUGGGAUAACUUCGGGAAACCGGAGCUAAUACCGGAUAAUAUAUUGAACCGCAUGGUUCAAUAGUGAAAGACGGUUUUGCUGUCACUUAUAGAUGGAUCCGCGCCGCAUUAGCUAGUUGGUAAGGUAACGGCUUACCAAGGCGACGAUGCGUAGCCGACCUGAGAGGGUGAUCGGCCACACUGGAACUGAGACACGGUCCAGACUCCUACGGGAGGCAGCAGUAGGGAAUCUUCCGCAAUGGGCGAAAGCCUGACGGAGCAACGCCGCGUGAGUGAUGAAGGUCUUCGGAUCGUAAAACUCUGUUAUUAGGGAAGAACAAAUGUGUAAGCAACUAUGCACGUCUUGACGGUACCUAAUCAGAAAGCCACGGCUAACUACGUG